This 492-nucleotide ribosomal RNA is filed under the name uncultured bacterium. Its description in RNAcentral is "partial 16S ribosomal RNA". It matches the Rfam family "Bacterial small subunit ribosomal RNA", at positions 29 to 507 of the family's 1533-position model. The record is from RNAcentral.
AGUGAACGCUGGCGGUAGGCCUAACACAUGCAAGUCGAACGGCAGCACAGUAAGAGCUUGCUCUUACGGGUGGCGAGUGGCGGACGGGUGAGGAAUACAUCGGAAUCUACUUUUUCGUGGGGGAUAACGUAGGGAAACUUACGCUAAUACCGCAUACGACCUACGGGUGAAAGCAGGGGAUCUUCGGACCUUGCGCGUUUGAAUGAGCCGAUGUCGGAUUAGCUAGUUGGCGGGGUAAAGGCCCACCAAGGCGACGAUCCGUAGCUGGUCUGAGAGGAUGAUCAGCCACACUGGAACUGAGACACGGUCCAGACUCCUACGGGAGGCAGCAGUGGGGAAUAUUGGACAAUGGGCGAAAGCCUGAUCCAGCCAUACCGAGUGGGUGAAGAAGGACUUCGGGUUGUAAAGCCCUUUUGUUGGGAAAGAAAAGCAGCAGGUUAAUACCCCGCUGUUCUGACGGUACCCAAAGAAUAAGCACCGGCUAACUUCGUG